This is a long non-coding RNA of Apodemus sylvaticus (European woodmouse), 402 nucleotides long. RefSeq lists it as uncharacterized. NCBI's taxonomy places the organism in Eukaryota, Metazoa, Chordata, Mammalia, Rodentia, Muridae. The transcript is spliced from 3 exons. The record is from RefSeq and is a predicted model, not a curated record.
CGUGACGCAUGCGCAGCUCCUCUCUUUUCCGAGAUCCGGACACGGUCGUGAUUGUCGGGGCUCCUCGUCCGUCGUCACCAUGGUGAAGCUGAGCAAAGAAGCUAAACAGAGGUUGCAGCAGCUCUUCAAGGGCGGCCAGUUUGCCAUCCGCUGGGGCUUUAUUCCCCUCGUGAUUUACCUGGGAUUUACGAGGGGUGCAGACCCUGGAAUGCCUGAACCAUCAGUUUUAAGCCUACUUUGGGGAUAAAGGACUGUUCGGUCAUCUGGAUUUGGACGCAAUCCAGCAUAGAAGGUGUGUACUCCAGCUGGAUACGAAACGAGACAUCAUUUCAACACAUCUGAGGCAGAGUGGAGCCUAUACUCACUUAUGAUAAACUAUCAAAAUAAAUAUUUUUAACAGUG